RNAcentral lists this ribosomal RNA (254 nucleotides) under uncultured bacterium. RNAcentral's name for it is "partial 16S ribosomal RNA". It matches the Rfam family "Bacterial small subunit ribosomal RNA", at positions 524 to 776 of the family's 1533-position model. The record is from RNAcentral.
UACGUAGGUGGCAAGCGUUUGUCCGGAUUUAUUGGGUUUAAAGGGUGCGUAGGCGGUCUUUUAAGUCAGUGCUGAAAUAUCCCGGCUUAACCGGGAGGGUGGCAUUGAUACUGAAGGACUUGAGUUCAGUCGAGGUAGGCGGAAUUGACGGUGUAGCGGUGAAAUGCUUAGAUAUCGUCAAGAACACCGAUAGUGUAGACAGCUUACUAGGCUGAAACUGACGCUGAGGCACGAAAGUGUGGGGAUCAAACAGG